GAAUCUCAGGCUUCAUUCAUUAAUUACAAAUAUUCAGAUCAGUGUGUGAUAUGGACAAAUUCAACUGUUAUGCAGGCAUUACCACUUACAUGAGAGGAACAACCCAGCCAACUAUCCAAGUGUUGUAUAAAAACAAAUGGUCACCAAGUCCUUGACUUCUCACUCAGUUGGGCAGACUUUAUAGCUGCAGUCUCAGACUUCCAAGGCUCUGCUGCUGCCCUCCUUGCUUGCCUUCAUCUUCCCCCCUUCCAUCUGAGGGGAUGCUGCUCCAUGUUAUUUGGGCGUUAUCCAUGGCCUGCAGCCGGGCGGGCAAGCAGCAGGGUGUCCACAGCUGAGCAAACAAUUGCCGGGCUGCUCCCCACGGCGUCCCGUGCGGCGGAAGAGGAAGCGCUGUCAAUCAUGGCACACAUGUGUACAGCGGGGAGCUGCCGAGGUUGUGAUGGGCACACGUCAAUUGUCUUGGACUGCCAGGGUGAGCAAGGAUACUUCAUCCAGUGCAGAGGUGGCCAGGAAUUUAUAAGCUGUCAGUAA
Molecule: long non-coding RNA, 531 nt
Filed under: Anas platyrhynchos platyrhynchos (common mallard)
Lineage: Eukaryota; Metazoa; Chordata; Aves; Anseriformes; Anatidae
Description: lncRNA (ENSAPLG00000025557.1)
Source: RNAcentral